GGCUUCAGGACAGGAAUUCUUGGCUCUUUCUGAGAUAUGGUGGAUGAUAGCAGUCCCUUGGGGUAGAAGAAUGCUUCAAGCUUCAGACAAAUUUAAGCAUUCUCACUUGGAAGCACCUUAAAUCCUUGGUGUUCAGAUUUGACAACCGUAAAAAUGUUCGCUAAAGAGGUUUGCGGGGGAUUCCUUGAGCAGCACAAGAUUAUUUUU
RNAcentral lists this long non-coding RNA (207 nucleotides) under Homo sapiens (human). RNAcentral's name for it is "HSALNT0348555". Lineage: Eukaryota; Metazoa; Chordata; Mammalia; Primates; Hominidae. The record is from RNAcentral.